CAGGAUGUUCUCCUCUGAUUGGCAGGGAGAGUUUGAAGGUGGGCUGGCAGAGACUGUGACCGCAACUGACUGCGUUCUGCAGAAUUAUGGUAAUGAAAUUGGAAGCCAACUUUCGUGAAGCAGAAACCCUCAAGUUUCCAGGUGCUGUUCUCAGUCCAGGAAUACAAUGACGAAUAAGAUAAAGGCCCUUAUUUCAGAGCUGACACACACUAUACGUAAUGUAUCAAAAAUGGUUCUUGCUAUAUUUCUGUUUUUAUUUGCAAGAAUAUAGAUAGCAUCUGCUUUGAUAUAAAACUUUUAUGUGUCUUACAUAGUUGAUUUAUAAAUGUUCUAUCUAUAAAUAUAAAACAAUAAAUUACUAGUAACAGUUGGCUUAGGAAAACUUUUAAUCAUGUCCUACAUUUUACAACUUGUAAUUUCUACCAAAUGUUUGUAUUUUUAUUAGUCUUAUUAAAUAUAAUAAAUAUUUGCCUGACUUAACAUAUUUUAAUAGAAUUCUUCAUAUGUUUUGCAGAAAGCUAAUUAUGGUUUUCCACGUGAUUUUUCUUUCAUAUAUACAGUAUUAUUUAAAAUAAAUUUUUAUAAAAUAA
This is a long non-coding RNA of Mandrillus leucophaeus (drill), 590 nucleotides long. RefSeq lists it as uncharacterized. Lineage: Eukaryota; Metazoa; Chordata; Mammalia; Primates; Cercopithecidae. The transcript is spliced from 2 exons. The record is from RefSeq and is a predicted model, not a curated record.